Molecule: small nuclear RNA, 104 nt
Organism: Balaenoptera musculus (blue whale)
Lineage: Eukaryota; Metazoa; Chordata; Mammalia; Artiodactyla; Balaenopteridae
Source: Ensembl
CUGUGCUUACUUCAGCUACAAAUAGAUUAAAACUGGACCCAUACAGAGAGGAUUAGCAUGACCUUUGCCCCACGAUUUUCAGUAGUGAAAAAUUGCAUUUUCUU